UACGAAGGGUGCAAGCGUUACUCGGAAUUACUGGGCGUAAAGGGUGCGUAGGUGGUUCGUUAAGUCUGAUGUGAAAGCCCUGGGCUCAACCUGGGAAUUGCAUUGGAUACUGGCGGGCUGGAGUGCGGUAGAGGGUAGUGGAAUUCCCGGUGUAGCAGUGAAAUGCGUAGAUAUCGGGAGGAACAUCCGUGGCGAAGGCGGCCUCCUGGACCAUUCCUGACACUCAGACGCGAAAGCUAGGGUAGCAAACGGGAUUAGAUACCCGCGUAGUCCCUGA
Molecule: ribosomal RNA, 277 nt
Filed under: uncultured prokaryote
Description: partial 16S ribosomal RNA
Rfam family: Bacterial small subunit ribosomal RNA
Source: RNAcentral